UAAACUACGAUUAGAUACCCUAUUAUUUUAAAUGUGAAUUUUUAGGCCUAGGUAGUAUUAGUUAUGUUCUUGAAACUUAAAGAAUUUGGCGGUGCUUUAAUCCUUUCAGAGGAACCUGCCCCAUAAUCGAUAUCCCACGUUUUAUCUUACUUAGUUUGGUUAAGCUUGUAUACCGCCGUCGUCGGAAUGUCCUUGCAGGGUGUUAAUUUUCUGGAAUUUAAUGUAAAAGAGAUGUCAGGUCAAGGUGCAGUUAAUGAUUAAGAGGAGGUGGGUUACAUUGGGUGAAUUUAAACGGAUUAUGACUUGAAAAAGAUUAGUUGUUUGAAGGUGGAUUUGAUGGUAAAGUUGGGUAUAUAGUUGGUUUGAUUAAUGGCUCUAAAGCAUGCACACAUCGCCCGUCGCUCUUA
Molecule: ribosomal RNA, 407 nt
Filed under: Kempnyella sp. BYU_PL155
Lineage: Eukaryota; Metazoa; Arthropoda; Insecta; Plecoptera; Perlidae
Description: partial 12S ribosomal RNA
Rfam family: Microsporidia small subunit ribosomal RNA (bases 50-407)
Source: RNAcentral